UUUGUUUUUAAGGCUAAGAAGAGAAUUAAGCUAGUUCUAUAUAGUGACUUAGAAGGGAAAGGGUCAAGUCUCUGGGAGUGUAGGAAAACCUCCCUUUCUUUGUUGCUGUGUGUGUGUGUGUGUGUGUGUGUGUGUGUGUGUGUGUGUGUGUGUGUGUUAUAUGUGAAUGUUCCUGCUGAGGUCAGGGGUUGAUGUUGGGUUUCUUCCAUGAUAGCUACCCACUUUGUCUCUUAAGGGGUAGUAUCUCUUCCUGAAUCUGAAACUCACCAGCCCUUACCAGGCUAGAUAGCCUACUUGCCCAGGGAUUUCCGCCAUCUCUAUCUUCUAAAUGCUGGAAUUAGAGACAACCACCACACCUACCAGGCUUUUCCAUGGAUUCCUGGGAUACACACACUGUACUUUACAGCUCACAGUGCCUCUCCACCGUCACGCUGAGCAUCUCUCCUAUGAGGAAGCUCUCCCCACCGUGCUGCAACCAAAGAAGCAUUAUUGAUACUGCAGGAGAUGGAAAUGGAAGACUGUGGAUCCCAGAUCUACGAGUUGAGCCAUGGAGUCCAGGUGCCAUCUUUAGCCUCUCACAGUGCCUGGAAGGGCCUGUCACAACGACCCAUGGAAGAACAGAAGGCAGCAAACACAUCAGUACUGCAUUUUAUACUGAGUGAAUGGGAACACAUGACUGUCAGGAAUGGACAAGACCACACAUGCCGUGGCUGAUGGCUGGGACAGCCUGGGGCUAGGUGAGCUGCUUCCGUGUCCAGAACUCAUCACUGGCCUUUACCACCUGCUGCUGUACAUAUGUUGGCUGUCCUUCCAGAGAGAGGGGGGGCUGUUUAGGGCAGAAAAUGCUGCACUGUCAGCUGCUGACUCUCCAUACUCGUGGAGAGAGGGGGAUGCUGAUGAUGCGCGAUAGUGAGAAACUCGAUGAUUUAUUUUUCAUUUGAGGAUAUAUUUUCAGGUGAGGAAUCAGCCUCUUUCAUCAUAUUCUGCUCUGUUUUGAGUAAAAAGAAAGAGGACUGUGUAGAGAAAUGAAUUCUUACCAUUGCACUAUCUCCUUUGUGCAUCAUGUGUACUCUUAGUCAAAAAGAGCAUUAUAUUCACUCUAUAAACAUAAAGGAACAGGGCCCAAAUUGCUGCUCGAAUCUCACAAAGCCUCACAGCUACAAGCGUGCCUUCCACACUCCCCUGAGUUUUGUAAGGAGCCCUCUUUAUCUGUGGUUCUGUCACACGGAGGAAGAGGAUGCUCUCUGGUCCCUCGGUUUUGUAUGUCUAAAUCAGUUACUACUUUGGCUUCCGAGACUCUCUUUGUCUUCGAAUGCAUACAGCUGAUUUCCUUUGUAAGGUUCUAGAGGGCUAGGAAGAUAUCUCAGUGGAUAAAAUAUUCAAUAAGAAAGCAAAUAUGAAGAUGUUCGCUCAGAUCCCCAGUACUCAGGUAGAAAGCUGGGUGUGAUGGUGGGUGUCUGCUAUGACCCCUUUGUGGUCAGGGUAGGUUUGGGAGACACAGGCAGACUCUCUGGGCCUUGCUGGCCAGUCAGUCUAACCAAACCUAUCUCAAAAACAAAAACAAAAUUAAAACCAAACAAUGACCAAAGAAACCAAUGAACCAACCAAACAAAAACAACCAAGAAAAUAGAGGUCAAUAGAAGAUACCCAGAAUUCACCUCUGGCCUCCACACACAUGGACUUGCAGACAAGAGUACUGAUACACACCCAUACCUUCUCUCUCUCUCUCUCUCUCUCUCUCUCUCUCUCUCUCUCUCUCAUCACAAAUACUUUCCUCAGCAGCUGGUAAGCUGGUAAGCUGCUUCUCCUUCUCCUCCCACUCAGCUGAAUGCCAGUUGUCCCUGCAUCCCAACCCAGCCUCUCAAAAUGGCUUCAGUUUCCAAGAGACAGCUUGCUUCUAAAUGCCAUCCAGUCCUGUUGCCAGAGGGGGGAGUACAGGGAUUUGUCCAGUGGGAGGGACAGAAAACAACAGCCAGAGCCACCAUGCCAGGCAAGCUCUGUGAACGUGGAUGUCUGGAAGCUGAUUCUGUGGGGAGGUGGGUGUGGCGAGUGAAAAUCACCAGCUUGUUGGGGGCACAUUUCAUGAUACAAAGGGGUCUUCGGUAUUAUUCUACGGCCUAAUUUACCUUCCUGAGAGUUAAGUAUAUGAAAUAAAGCAUGCCUUUUAAGUUA
This is a long non-coding RNA of Mus musculus (house mouse), 2172 nucleotides long. RefSeq annotates it as predicted gene, 33277. NCBI's taxonomy places the organism in Eukaryota, Metazoa, Chordata, Mammalia, Rodentia, Muridae. The record is from RefSeq and is a predicted model, not a curated record. The transcript has 3 exons.